CGGCUGGGAUAAGGUCGUCGCAUGACUCAGUGCGCAUGCGCGGUCAGCCAUGUUUGAUGCUAUUCCCCACUCCUAAUGUUCACCACACAAUGUAAACAAACAGUGUAUGGCAUGUCAAAAAAAUUUCAACAUCAAAAUUUAAUCAUUUAUUUAUUGAAUAAAUAUUAUACGUCAAUGUUGUGCGAUCGGUUGCUUCCCCCAGAGAUUCAGAUUGUCGUCGAAAAUGAUCUACUGGUGCUGGUGUGAGCCAAAUAAAACCAAGCUCAACGUUAUGUGAGAUAUAUUUAUAAAGAUCCAACAUAAUGAAUCUCAAUAUGAACAACAUCGUCAGGAUGGCUCAAAAAAAAUUAAAACCAAAUGCAGUACCAACUUUGUUUGGUGAUGUUUUGAUAGAUUUUUUAAGUAAAAUUCACCAAAAUACAAGUGACGUGAUACAUGAUGUUAGUUGGACUUCAUUUGAAUCACUGAAGCAGUUGUCAACAAUAAACUUAGGUAAAUCUUUUUUCAGACCAUUGCUUGAUGUAAUUAUCGAUGAAUAUACCACUGACAACAAAAAGAGUUUAUUCAAGUUACUAAAGUCUAAUAAUACCAAAUGUUUACCAAGUGAUGAGCAGCAGAUUGAAUUGCCACUAGUAAACUCGGAUAAGGAUCAUUUAGUAUCAAUUCUUGCUGAUGAAUUACAAGCAGAAAUAAUAAAAAAAUAUAAUGAAGGAGUUAUUAAAUUUAAUUUCAUGCUUCAAAAUCAACAUUGUCUUUAUCACCACGAAAUUUCGAGUUUAAACUAGGAAGUAGAAAGCUU
Long non-coding RNA from Aphidius gifuensis, 799 nucleotides. RefSeq lists it as uncharacterized. The transcript has 3 exons. The record is from RefSeq and is a predicted model, not a curated record. NCBI's taxonomy places the organism in Eukaryota, Metazoa, Arthropoda, Insecta, Hymenoptera, Braconidae.